UACGAAGGGGGCUAGCGUUACUCGGAAUCACUGGGCGUAAAGCGCACGUAGGCGGCUUUUUAAGUCAGAGGUGAAAUCCUGGAGCUCAACUCCAGAACUGCCUUUGAUACUGGAGAGCUUGAGUCCGGGAGAGGUGAGUGGAACUGCGAGUGUAGAGGUGAAAUUCGUAGAUAUUCGCAAGAACACCAGUGGCGAAGGCGGCUCACUGGCCCGGUACUGACGCUGAGGUGCGAAAGCGUGGGGAGCAAACAGGG
This 254-nucleotide ribosomal RNA is filed under the name uncultured bacterium. Its description in RNAcentral is "partial 16S ribosomal RNA". It matches the Rfam family "Bacterial small subunit ribosomal RNA", at positions 524 to 777 of the family's 1533-position model. The record is from RNAcentral.